GCUUCACUCACACACACACCUAAGGCCAAGAGAGAAAAUUGUGGGAUUUGUGUAGUUUUGUGUGGAUUAAGGCUUGAAGUGUGUGCAAUGAAGUAUUUUGGUAAAAGCUCGAUCCCGAUACUAAUGGAAAGUCCAAGAUUGAGCAGAGCAACCUAGGCGGCCGGGAUGGGAUCUAGGAAUGCAUUAGAAUAUUGCAUUUAUGUUUCCUUAAUAAAUGCACUUGCACAAUAAAUUUAGUUUUUCUUUGGAUUUUUAAUUAUUGAAUCAAACAUAAUUGUUUAUUUCGAAAUAACUGUUUCCGCAUUUAUUAAAGCUCUGAGUUUUAAAAUCUUUA
Long non-coding RNA from Alnus glutinosa, 334 nucleotides. RefSeq lists it as uncharacterized. The record is from RefSeq and is a predicted model, not a curated record. Lineage: Eukaryota; Viridiplantae; Streptophyta; Magnoliopsida; Fagales; Betulaceae. The transcript is spliced from 2 exons.